AAACCAAAUUCAAACUAAAUAUGGUAACAACAAUCUAUCUAUAUUUGGCACAGUUAUAAUAAUAAUAUAGUCAUAAUGUUCAAUGAUUACUGCAAUCUUAUUCAAACUCAUUGACAUUCCCUCUCAAAUUAAUGCUGGUAAAAGCAUGAAUUUGCAAUCAUGAACUGACAACGGUGACAAUACUCAUGCCCACGAAGAAGAAAUCAAAAAUUGAGCAUCUAGGAAAGUAACAAUGAGAGACCAAGAAAUACAAAUAGUGCAGAAACAACUAAGAACUACUCUAAAGCCAUUCCAAGAACACUCCAAAGAGCUCACUCUUCAAGAAAAAUUUUCAAAAGAAAUUUAUGAAGUGUGUCGACAUACAUAUUAAGCCUUAUCUGUCGGUAGAACUUAGUUGAACACAUAAUUCGUGUUCUGACAAAUGCUCUAAUGCUAGAACACCGGCCAAAAAUCUAAUAAUAUAUCGUUGACAAGAUGCUGCAGUUGGAAGAAAUCCCACAAAACAGCGUGCACAAAAAGUGAAACAAGAUGAUCCUCUUUUGAAAAUUCAAAAUCCACCCAAGGAUGCUCCUACGAGAAUCUAAAACUCUAGCUCAUCGCUUGAGCAACUGAAACACAAAGAUCUGCUCUCCCAUGUCUCUCUCAACCAUUUGACCCAUCAACAAGAUCCCCAAGUUCCUUAUUGGAAGCAAAUCAAGCCACAUUCCCAAGUUUACACAAUAUUAGCCCACAAAGAGAUACUACAAUUUAUAAUCCAAUUGAUUAUAAUCUAUAAACAUCUAUUAAAGUCUCUAAGACCUAACACAUUCAUUAAAAAUAACGAAGCCCAAAGAAGGAGGCCCAACCAACAAAUCCAUAACAAUAUUAAACAUAACCCAGCAGUCCAUUAAAUCAAAAUUUCAUAUAAAAUUUAGCCCACUACAAGCCCAAAUCUUAACUUCUCAUCUCAGGACUUGAAUCCAACAGUCCAUAUACAAGCCCACUUAAAUACUAUUUAUCAAAUACCCAUAACGGUAAACAAAUACACAGACCCAUUAUCACAAAUUAAUAAUAGAACCUUAACCCAAUCAAAGAAAUCCCAAUUUAAAUGCACAGUGUACUAACCAUAGCCCCAAUAAAUUAGCCUAACUGAGAUUCACACGAUAGUUCGCCUCCACUUUAUUAAAUAGCCCACAGAAGGCGAUCUGCAACACAUGAACAAUGAGUGUUAUAGUGUAAGAUGUCAACGGGAUUGCAAGUACUUAUUAAUUUAUGCAUUUGUAUCUGUGUAUGGUUGAAGAUUUUCGAAUGAUAUGAAGUUGUAAGCUGAUGAAAGGAAAUAGUUAAAUUGUUCAUUAACUUCAAGGUUGGUGUUUGCAUUGAUUGUCCAUUGGCUGUCACCAAGUUGGGCUCUAUAAUUUUUAUCUGUUUCUUUAACUUGUGCAUUUGAGAUGAGGUAUGUCUUCUGUGGUAGUAAGAUGUCUUCAAAAGCUGUGAUGGAGUUCUCGAAUAAAGUAGCCUGGAUUCUGUUCCCAUGCAUAAAAAUUAAGUUGAAAGAUGUUAUGGUAAGGUUUUAUACGAUAGGACAGAAAAUAAUUUAAUAUAAUGGAAUUUUUUUUAGGAUUUGGAAAUGAGUAUUUAAAUGGAAUGUUAAUCUUAAAUGAAAUAGUGAAGUUUUGUGCUUUGUUUUAUAAUGCAUAUAUUAUGAACAAAUUAAGGCUGAAACCUUAAGUUUUUCUUGGUGGAAUAUGUACUUGUUGUUAUGUAUAAAUCUAGAUGGGCACUUUUUUGAGUUCUUUUUUAUUAUACAUACGGAAUACACAGAAUUUAAGUACAAGAACUGAAAGGAACUGGAAAGCUGUUGUGGGAGGCAGAAAGUUGUCAAGCUUGAAAAAGAAAAAUGAAGUUUACUAUUUGAGAGUAUAAUGCACAAGAACAAUAGAUUUGGAUAUAGAAUUCAUUAAAGAAAUUGAAAUGGUGUUCCUUUUUCAAAAGAAGGGAGCAUUG
Molecule: long non-coding RNA, 1986 nt
Filed under: Olea europaea subsp. europaea
Lineage: Eukaryota; Viridiplantae; Streptophyta; Magnoliopsida; Lamiales; Oleaceae
Source: RNAcentral